This is a non-coding RNA of Arachis ipaensis, 691 nucleotides long. The record is from RefSeq and is a predicted model, not a curated record. Lineage: Eukaryota; Viridiplantae; Streptophyta; Magnoliopsida; Fabales; Fabaceae.
UAAGAGCUAGCCUAAAUGAGCAUUUUGGUUCCUGCAGGGAGAUCUCGAGGGUGUCAGUCCCAAAAGAUUUCGAGUCUGAAGGUCCUAAAUGUUUUGCCUACAUCGACUUCAAGGAUUCUUCUAGCAUGAAGAAAGCUCUAGAACUCAAAUGAAACUGAACUUGCUGGUUAUGGUGGUUGAUGUUGAGGCAUACACCUAUGAUGAUGAGGUCAUCAAGAAAGCUGAAGCAAUGGGGAAGCCCAAAAAUCCUGAAGAAGAAGCUACUGUGGAAACUACUAGAGCCAUAAAACAUCAUCAAAAAAGCUGAAGCAAUGGAAAAGCCAAAAAAUCCUGAAGAAGAAGCUACUGUGGAAACUACCAGAGCCAUAAAAGCUUCUCAGUUGUUGCUAAAUGCCAUUGAAAUUCUGAAGAAGAAGCUGGAUGCAUGUUGUACGUCUCUAAGCACAUAGUGGAGGCUGAUGAUUAGUUUGGUGAAUUGGGUGCACAUAUGUGAGGAGGUUAAUCAAAAUUAUUGUUAGAUAGGAUGGCAAAGUUAUUGGAAUUGUAAUUCAUGUAUUAGGAAUACAUUGCUUAGUUGUUAUCAUUUUGAUUUUUGAUAUUUUGUUAUACUGUCAUGUGAUUAAACAUUUUUUUUGUGACAAGUUUAUGUAUGUUGGAUUAGUGGAUUUAAAAUUAUUGGUCAUUGUCUAAA